Molecule: RNA transcript, 4011 nt
Organism: Carassius gibelio (silver crucian carp)
Lineage: Eukaryota; Metazoa; Chordata; Actinopteri; Cypriniformes; Cyprinidae
Gene: rnpc3
Gene name: RNA-binding region (RNP1, RRM) containing 3
Exons: 16
Source: RefSeq, a predicted model, not a curated record
UACAUGUCUGUUUUUUUCCUUAAUACUGUGGUCUACAUUUAUUUACUAGCACAAUGUUUUACUCGUCGUUGUUUUAUUUUAACUUUAAGCUCCUUAUUUUAACACUCGAGUUUUGUUGUGAGCUGUUCAAGCUAACGAUUUGUGAGAAUCAUGGCAGAGACAGACGAGGCUGACGUUCAAACGAAGAAAAGCAAAACCCUCAUCGUACGACAUCUGCCCAGAGAACUCACCAGAGAUGAAAAAGAGGAUCUCCUGAAAUAUUUUGGUGCCUCGUCUGUCAGAGUGCUGUCAGAGAAAGGACCGCUAAAACAUAUGGCAUUUGCAACCUUUAGCAGUGAGACCUCAGCCUCUAAGGCAUUGAACAGACUUCAUCAGCUGAGAAUCCUUGGUCACACACUAGUGGUUGAGUUUGCGAAAGAUCAAGACCAUGUCACUGUUUUGAAAGACCCACCAGUGUCUAAGAGUGGUGUUGGUGCUCAGUCUGAGAAGGGGAAGAAAGAAAAACAACAAAACAAUGUUCCUCUGGUGGACAACAGCAUUGCUCCCAGUCUGGGGUUGAAAUUUCAGACAAAUCCAACGCUGAAAUAUUUAUACCCUCCUCCUUCAAGUGGAAUUUUGACAAACAUUACACACACUCUUCUGAGCGUGCCCAAGUUCUACGUUCAAGUUCUUCACCUGAUGAAUAAGAUGAACCUUCCCUGCCCGUUUGGACCAAUGACGGCUCCUCCGCCAAUGUUUGAGAUGCCUCCAGGCCCACUGCCGCCCAUGCCCCCACCCUUCCCCCCAGAGAACCCUCCUCUCCCGGAGCACGAGGAGGGGGCGUCCGGCAAUGAAGAAGAAUCUGAGUACGAAAGUGGAGAUGAGGAGGACAAGGAGAGGAUGAUCAGACUGAUGGGCCUCGUUAACCAGCCAUGCAAAAGACCGUUGAGAACAAAGACUUCUUCCAAGAGAAAGAAACCCAAACUAAAAGACCUCCUGUUUAUUCCCAAACCAGAGUCCCACGGCCCCUCAGGCCCAGCCCUGCAGCCAUCAGACGUGUUCGAGCAACCUCAAACGCUUGGACAGAAAAAGAUUGAGUUCCAUAUAUCGGCUGAGGUGUCCACCAUCCUCGAGGGUCCCAGACAGAAUCAGGAACCACAAUUCACAGAGGCGAGCGAAGACACGGCAGAGUUGGAGGUUUCCGUUCAGGACACUGCAGAAGGGUUUGGGAAAAUCUACCCAAGCGCUCAGGUCCCCAGACUCGAGGAACAGAGGGAGGAAGAUGAGGACAUCCCCACGGAGUUCAUCUCUAGGAGAGAGCUAGAGAGAGGGAGACUCUCCAGAGACGAGAUGAAAAAAAUGUCUGUGUUUAAAAAUUAUGAACCUGGAGAGCCAACCUGCAGACUUUAUGUUAAAAAUGUUGCAAGGCAAGUUGAGGAAAAAGAUCUGAAGUUCAUCUACGGCCGGUAUAUCGACAUCUCCUCAGAGGAGGAGAGAAACAUGUUUGAUAUUGUUUUGAUGAAAGAGGGGAGGAUGAAAGGUCAGGCCUUCAUCGGGCUCCCCAGCGAGAGAAGCGCAGAGAAGGCCUUAAAGGAAACCAAUGGAUAUGUUCUCAGCGACAAACCUCUUGUGGUGCAAUUUGCCCGAUCUGCAAAACCUAAACCGGAAUCUGCUGACCCAAAGAAAGGAGGGAAAAAACACUGAACUGGUGGGUUAAAAGGCCAAUUUUUGUAUUUAUGUAUAUAUUUUUUUAGAACUGUCUGUUGAAGUGGGUGGGUGACCAAUGUACUGAUCAUUUUUCUUUAUAAAUUAUUAUAACUGGUUUGGAUAGCCUCUUGAUCUUGAAGCUUGAAGAUUGAUUUUGAUUUGAUUUUUGAUUUUUUUUGUGUCCAGAUACAUUUUAACCCAACAUUUCUAUUUGUUUAAGAUGAUGUUGAUGUACAAUCAUGAGCCUACAGGAGCUCCAUCUUUACUUCAUAUCCUUUAAAAUAUCCUUUAAAAGAGUUCUUAAAUUGCUUGCUUUGGUAAAAAAAAAAUAUAAAAAAAAUAUAUAUAUAUAAUUCUUCCAAAUGUCAAGCAAUGUUUUUUUUAUGUUACAUUACACAUAAAGCUUGUUAUUAAUAUUUUUCCCUCCAAUUUUAUUGCAGAAGGCUGCUGUUGAGCUCUGUUGGACAGGAGUUCAUCAUUGAUUGAUGUUGCAAAAGGUUGGAUCCUGAUGUUUAAUGGUACCAGUAUUGUUCUGCACGCACAACAUGUGCCUUUGAUGUGAAGGAGAAUAAAUUUAGAAGUCGCUAUCAGUCAGCCAGCUCAUCUUCCAGCAGCACAGCAACAGAUGGUGCUGUCAAUACAGCAGAGCUCAGACAAACACAAACACUACACAAGAAAGACUGUGACCAGGGCUGGCCCGACUCGAAGAUUAGCUGUUAUUUGUUCACUGUACUUUAGUCUGAGAUCUAAGAUUCUCAAGACGCAUUGUGCCAGGUUUGAUUUCAGGGACGCCAAAUGCUAUUGCUUUUCAUGAUCAGUCAUGAUGCUCAGUCAUGAUCUGUCUUGACACUGUUAUUAUGCAUGAAUGAGAUUUGAGAUUUUACUAUGUCUUACUAUCUUUUUUUGUUGUUGUUGUAAGGAAGUACUAGAUCAAGUGAUUAAGGGUUCAACAUAAACCACACAGGUCAAAAGUUUGGAGUGAUUUAUUAAUGGAUGAAAACGUUUCACCAAGGCUGCUUUUAUAUACAUUAAACCGUAAUAUUGUGAAAUAUUACAAUUUAGAAUCCAUUUUAAUUUUGAAGCUAAUUUACUAUUUUAUCUGUUGAUGAAUGGGAAGUUCAAAGGAAUCUUUAACAUUUAUUUGAAAUAGAAAAUUUUUGUGACAUUAUGAAUGUCUUCAAAUCUAUUUAUUUCUUCCUUGUUGAAUUAAAAGCAUGAAUACAUUUUUUACAUUUCUUUCUUUAGUAUUCAAAUAAAUAAAAAAAAUCUUGCUUACCCCAAACUUUUGAAUGGUAGCAGAUCAUGGUUUUCAGAAAAUCAUUAAGCAGAAAAAACAGUUUUCAAUAUUGAUAAUGCGAACAAAUUUUGGAUGUGCAUUAAAUCAGUAUAUUAGAAUGAUUUCUUAAGGAUCAUGUGACACUUUAUACCAGAAUAAUGACUGCUGAUAUUCCUCUUUGCCAUUACAGGAAUACAUUAGAAAACAGUUCUUUUAAACUGUAGUGAUAUUCCACAAUUAUAUUGAUUUCACUUUAUUUUUGAUCAAUUAAAUUCAGCCUUGGUGAGCAAAAGGUCUUUCGAAAACAUCAAGGAAUCUUAAUUGGUCCAAACUUUUGACCUGUUGUGUGUAGAAUAUUGUGGCGGGUCAUACGAAGCCCAUCUGAUAUUCAAAUACUCUUGAUUGGUUUGCCUAGAUGAGAAAAAAAAAAAAUUCAAGUUUCCAGCUGUGUCCAAUGGCAUUCCCAACAAGGGCCCUUUUAUCACUUUUGAAAUUAUUCCUGAUAAAUGUCUUGGUAAUUCUCAAUAUUUCCACGGCGGUUGGUGCAUUUGUCAUCAUUGAAGUCAGUGGCAGAGUAUCUCACAGAUGGGAACUCCUCACGGGUGGCAUUGAAGUACGAGCCGCAGGUCGAGUGCCUCCUCUCCCCUACGCCCGACGCACAUGUGUGAUUGAUGACAACGUCUGUGUAGAUCUUCACCUGCAGGAGCCACAUCGGUUCAUUACCAUGAGCCCACAGCACAACACUGCCUACCAGGACACAUCAAAGGACACUGCUGCGCUUUCCUAUCUACAGUGGGAACGCAAUGAGGGAAUCAAAGGGCUUUGGAGCUCUAAUACAAGGAGAGCAGUUUUAAUAAGGAAAUCUGUAUUUAAAGGAAUAUAAUUCAGGACAUCACUUGGGCAGGACAACUGGGACCAUUAUCCCAUGUCCAAAGGGAGGGGGUCCACUCACAAAAAUGUGUUUUCACAAAAAUGUGAUUUAUAUUUUAACUAACAUGUGUUGGUUUUUAAUCUACUAUUGGUAGGUGGCAAAUUUUGCUACAGGACUA